CUAUCAAUUAACUUACUGUUUUCUAAAGUUCAAAGUCCAGAGAGAGGACAGGUGCAGUUUCAAUUGGUCUAGAAUAGAUGAUUCAUCACCAUCAUCCUGGUUCAACAGAACUGUCUUACUGGACACUGCUCUGGGUGGCACUACGAUGAUGACCCCCGGUGGGUGAGGCACCUAAGGAGUGUUUGAGGACCACCUCAGGGACUACUUUGAGAAGUUUGGCCCACCUAGUACAUUGCAUAAUGUUUAAAGCAUUCUUCUUUUUGUCCCUGCAAUUCCAGGGAUCCAAGGGAUGUGAGAUAACCUGUAGAAACUGGGGAUCCCUCCUGUUUGGUAUAGGAGAUGAACCUGCAUUCUGAUACCACACCACGAUCCAUUGCUUCAACUACCACCUCCAAGCUGAGGGCAGCACCUGAAUUUCUGUGGGCCGCUCUGCAAGCACCUGGAGGUAAGGGAAUCAAGACUGCUCCUGAGAGUUGAACUGGAUAAAUCCCUACACUGCAGAUGUGAUCAGCCUUUCACUCACUCAACAAAUAUUUAUUGAGCACCUACCCUGUGCCAUGUACUAUUGUAGACACUGGGCUUACUGGAAUAAGCAAAACAGAAAAUUCCCGAACAUUCUACUGGGGUAUUGUUGGGAGAGUAUAAUCCUAUGUAAUAAAGAUGUAAUAUGCAAA
Molecule: long non-coding RNA, 674 nt
Organism: Myotis davidii
Lineage: Eukaryota; Metazoa; Chordata; Mammalia; Chiroptera; Vespertilionidae
Exons: 2
Source: RefSeq, a predicted model, not a curated record